Molecule: long non-coding RNA, 261 nt
Filed under: Hordeum vulgare
Lineage: Eukaryota; Viridiplantae; Streptophyta; Magnoliopsida; Poales; Poaceae
Description: long non-coding RNA (HVUL_LNC005795)
Source: RNAcentral
GCUAUUUCUGCAUGGUUGCACCUACUGACAACGGUAUUCUGUACUCUUUCUUGACCUACAUAUCUUUCAAAUAUCUCAUUGCUUAUCCUUGAGCGCGUUUGAAAUAUCUCAAACUGGUUCGCGCGGCCACGCAAUAUCUAUAUACACUUGUUCUUAUUUUGUUUCUCCCCAUCAACUGUGAGUCAUUGUCAUCUGAUUUCAUGGUCUUCUCGCUUUGCUUCUGAAUGAUGGUCUGUACAAUGUGAAGAAGAGAUGAUCUCA